GACGAACGCUGGCGGCGUGCCUAAUGCAUGCAAGUCGCACGCAGCACUCUUCGGAGUGCUGAGUGGCGCACGGCUGAGGAACACGUGGGCACCUGCCCGCGCGUGGGGGAUAACCCGGCGAAAGCCGGGCUAAUCCCGCAUACGCUUGGCUCCCAAUAGCCAAGCAAAGCGGCAACGCGCGCGCGGAGGGGCCUGCGGCCCAUCAGGUGGUUGGCGGGGUAACGGCCCACCAAGCCGGUGACGGGUAGCUGGUCUGUGAGGACAACCAGCCAGACUGGGACUGAGAGACGGCCCAGACUCCUACGGGAGGCAGCAGCAAGGAAUUUUCCCCAAUGGGCGCAAGCCUGAGGGAGCAACGCCGCGUGCAGGACGACGGCCUUCGGGUUGUAAACUGCUUUUCGGAGGGACGAGAGUGACGGUACCUUCGGAAUAAGCCCCGGCUAACUCUGUGCCAGCAGCCGCGGUAAGACAGAGGGGGCCAGCGUUGUCCGGACUAACUGGGCGUAAAGCGCGCGCAGGCGGUCGGAGGCGUCGGUGCUGAAAAGCUCCCGCUUAACGGGAGACGGCGUGCCGAUACGCUUCGACUGGAGGGCGGGCGAGGGUGGUGGAAGUGCCGGUGUAGUGGUGAAAUGCGUAGAGAUCGGCUCGAACACCAGUGGCGAAGGCGGCCACCUAGCCCGCCCCUGACGCUGAGGCGCGACAGCGUGGGGAGCGAACUGGAUUAGAUACCCAGGUAGUCCACGCCGUAAACGAUGCCGACUCGGUCUUCGUGGAGCGACAAGCUCCGGGGGGGCCCGAGCUCACGCGCUAAGUCGGCCGCCUGGGGACUACGAGCGCAAGCUUAAAACUCAAAGGAAUUGACGGGGGCCCGCACAAGCAGCGGAGCGUGUGGUUUAAUUCGACGCAACGCGCAGCACCUUACCCAGGCUGGACAUGGAGCUGCACAGCGGGGAAACCCGCUGGCCUUCGAGGGUGCUCCACAGAUGCUGCAUGGCUGUCGUCAGCUCGUGUCGUGAGAUGUUGGGUUAAGUCCCGCAACGAGCGCAACCCCCGCGGCCAGUUACACGUGUCUGGUCGGACCGCCCUUCGGGGAGGAAGGCGGGGAUGACGUCAAGUCCGCAUGGCUCUUACGUCUGGGGCGACACACACGCUACAAUGACGCCGACAGUGCGAGGCGAAGGAGUAAUCCGAAGCGAAUCGCCAAACGGCGUCCCAGUGCAGAUCGGGGGCUGCAACUCGCCCCCGUGAAGGCGGAGUUGCUAGUAACCGCGUAUCAGCCACGGCGCGGUGAAUACGUACCCGGGCCUUGUACACACU
Molecule: ribosomal RNA, 1317 nt
Filed under: uncultured bacterium
Lineage: Bacteria
Description: bacterial SSU rRNA
Rfam family: Bacterial small subunit ribosomal RNA
Source: RNAcentral